GUGCUGCUUCAGCAGCACAUGUGCAAAUGUCAGAAUGAUACAGAAAAGAUUCUUAUGGCUCCUGCCCAAGAACUACAUACACAUUUGUGAAGCAUUCCACAUAUUU
Molecule: small nuclear RNA, 106 nt
Organism: Trichosurus vulpecula (common brushtail)
Lineage: Eukaryota; Metazoa; Chordata; Mammalia; Diprotodontia; Phalangeridae
Source: RefSeq, a predicted model, not a curated record